UACGUAGGGUGCGAGCGUUAAUCGGAAUUACUGGGCGUAAAGCGUGCGCAGGCGGUUUUGUAAGCCAGAUGUGAAAGCCCCGGGCUUAACCUGGGAAUGGCAUUUGGGACUGCAAGGCUUGAGUGCGGCAGAGGAGACUGGAAUUCCUGGUGUAGCAGUGAAAUGCGUAGAUAUCAGGAGGAACACCGGUGGCGAAGGCGGCGACCUGGUCCAAUACUGACACUCAUACGCGAAAGCGUGGGGAUCAAACAGG
RNAcentral lists this ribosomal RNA (253 nucleotides) under uncultured bacterium. RNAcentral's name for it is "partial 16S ribosomal RNA". It matches the Rfam family "Bacterial small subunit ribosomal RNA", at positions 524 to 776 of the family's 1533-position model. The record is from RNAcentral.